UGGGAUGACAGGUCCUUCCCCGGGCUGGGGCUGGGGGUGGGGUGGAGUGCAGGUUCUUUGGCUGUGCGAGGGGCCCUGGCUUCUUUGCGGCCGCCCCCCCAACUUCUCCCGGAUUUCAUACUUCACAUUCCCCAGCAUGGUUCUGACAGGCCUGAGAGCAGGGAGUCCUCACGGCCUGGGAAGGUGGUGGGAAGUUUGAACAGCUGCAGAACCUGCCCACCCGCUAUCUCUAGCUACAUACUUCAUACUUAAAAAAAAAAAAAAAAAAAAAAAACACCAACCCAAAUUCUUAGGCUUAUGUAACACACUUGGAAGUCAAGGAGCCAAGAUUCAUUAUCAACAGCCCAGGAGGGGGUUGCGAAACACUUGUUCUGAAGAAAUCUUUCCAUUGAGAAAAAUUUCCUCUGAGGCUCAGUCUCCCAGUGGCUCUAGGAUGUCGUGGGGCCCGGGGUGUCCUUAAGGCUCCAGAGCCCACUGUUCUCUGCUGCCCUUGGGCCAUGAGCCUGCUGCCUGGAAACCGACUAACACCACUAACAACCCGUGUGCGACUAUGACCUCUUCUAUGAGCUUCGACCCACAUAUCCGGCCAGCCACUUGACAUCUCCUUUGGGGUCUCCCAGACAUGUCAAACAGAUCGUGGACAAGCUGGACUUCUGGAUUUUUCUCCCCAACUCUUUCCCAGCCACCUCCCACUCCAUCUUCCCCAUCUCAGCAAAUCUUGCACCGGCUCCAUCCAGAAGCUUCUAUGUGCUCUGGCUUCUCCCCUUCCAUGCCCGCCGUCAGGAAUUCAUGCACAGACCCUGAGCGUUCCAGGGUUCCACACAUCCUCUCAGUCUUGCCAUUGUCUCUCCUGGGGCCCUGCCUGCCACCCAAUGGAGGUCUACCUCCAUAGAGUGGGGGGCCCUACAGGCCUCACACAACCCUCCCCCAGCAGCUCAUGGGGAACCCUCUAGGCUAACUCUUGUCCCAGACUCCCUACUGCUGCUUUCUUGGGACAUACAAAACAGAGCCUACCUUCCAGCCCAGGGAGAAUGUGGCUUUCAGUUCAUUUACAGAGAAGGGGAGCAGAAUAGAAAUUGAAGCGAGGAAGGAGAAGGUGCUGGUGAGAGGGAGAAAGCUGGGUAAGUGGGUCAUUCCUGCUGUGACUUCAACUUUUGGGAUAUCCAUCCUUCCAACAGAGUAUUUAUUGAGCA
Long non-coding RNA from Mustela lutreola (European mink), 1193 nucleotides. RefSeq lists it as uncharacterized. The transcript is spliced from 2 exons. NCBI's taxonomy places the organism in Eukaryota, Metazoa, Chordata, Mammalia, Carnivora, Mustelidae. The record is from RefSeq and is a predicted model, not a curated record.